Molecule: long non-coding RNA, 369 nt
Filed under: Elaeis guineensis (African oil palm)
Lineage: Eukaryota; Viridiplantae; Streptophyta; Magnoliopsida; Arecales; Arecaceae
Description: long non-coding RNA (EGUI_LNC009117)
Source: RNAcentral
GCUAGAGGGUUGAAAGCUGACACAAUGAACUGCAGAGAGUAGAGAUUCUAGUUAGAUAUUAAUAUUUAAUUUUAAAAUUUAUUUUAAGAUCUUUUAAAAUAAAUAUGCCUCUCACUAUUUCUUCAAAUCUCUUACACUCCUCAGGUAGAAAAACAAAAAUCCUUCGCGACUAGAGUUUCAAGUAAAUAUUACGAUCCCACCGAUCUAUGUGCACCUCACCUAACAGUUAUUAGUAAUAUACAAAAUCAAUGAGCAAACAACUCUUGUCCAAUACUUCUCAAGCAUGUUAAAGCGAUAUCCAGUCUCUAAGUUAUGUAGACCUUAUCUAAUAGUUAUUGAUCCCAUUCUUUAGUUAAGUCAGAUCCACCA